CCUACGGGUGGCAGCAGUCGCGAAAACUUCGCAAUGGGGGCAACCCCGACGAGGGAAUUCCAAGUGCUAGCACUUUGUGUUAGCUGUUCUUCUGUCUAAAAAACAGGAGGAGUAAGGGGCGGGUAAGACGGGUGCCAGCCGCCGCGGUAAUACCCGCGCCCCAAGUGGUGGUCGAUAUUAUUGAGCCUAAAACGUCCGUAGCCGGUCUUCUAAAUCCUUGGGUAAAUCGGGCAGCUUAACUGUCCGAAGUCCGGGGAGACUGGGAGACUUGGGACCGGGAGAGGUCAGAGGUACUUCUGGGGUAGGGGUAAAAUCCUGUAAUCCUGGAAGGACCACCGGUGGCGAAGGCGUCUGACUAGAACGGAUCCGACGGUGAGGGACGAAGCCCUGGGGCGCAAACGGGAUUAGAUACCCGUGUAGUC
RNAcentral lists this ribosomal RNA (422 nucleotides) under uncultured Thermogymnomonas sp. RNAcentral describes it as "bacterial SSU rRNA". It matches the Rfam family "Archaeal small subunit ribosomal RNA", at positions 322 to 746 of the family's 1478-position model. Lineage: Archaea; Methanobacteriati; Thermoplasmatota; Thermoplasmata; Thermoplasmatales. The record is from RNAcentral.